GCGCUGCUCUGGUCUGGCUGAGCAGCUCUGUACUUGGGUCAAGGCUGAUUGACUCUUUGUACUCAUUUGUUAGCAAGUCUCUUCAGUUAGACCUGUGUUCGUUAGUUUAUAUAAUAACAAUAAUCAUAACAAGGUAAAAUAAGCUUGGAUUACGAAGCACAACGCUAAUGAGUAUUCCAGUCCUCAUCAGCUACUCCCCCCCUGGUCUAGUUGAACAGCGUUCUCUUCGUUCAACUAGUGGUGUGUGUUGUGAAGUCAGCGCUGUGCUGUUCUCCCGUGUCCAUUAAGCAUACACGAUUCCCUGUGCUGGGAAGACUCAAGUGAUCUGCGUUGACAACCCCGCGCUGACUGCGCUGCACCGACUGCGCUGACAACCCCGCGCUGACUGCGCUGUACUACCUGCAUUGACAAAGAUGAUACACUCCCGCAUAGCGGCCCUUAAGAUGGUACAAAGAUGGUACACCCCCGCCGAAGCGGCCCUUAAGAUGGUACACCCCCGCCGAAGCGGCCCUUAAGAUGGUACACCCCCGCCGAAGCGGCCCUCAAGAUGGUACACCCCCGCCGAAGCGGCCCUUAAGAUGGUACACCCCCGCCGAAGCGGCCCUCAAGAUGGUACACCCCUGUCUAACUUUCGCGGCUUACGAUAUUCCUGCGCGGAGCAUAGACAAUCAAAGAACCCUGUCUAACUUUCGCGGCUUACGAUAUUCCUGCGCGGAGCAUAGACAUUCUGAACUGACAACGGCUCGGACAUUCUGCGCUGAAAACUACUGAGAUA
This 775-nucleotide long non-coding RNA is filed under the name Salvia miltiorrhiza (redroot sage). RNAcentral's name for it is "long non-coding RNA (SMIL_LNC003405)". The record is from RNAcentral. Lineage: Eukaryota; Viridiplantae; Streptophyta; Magnoliopsida; Lamiales; Lamiaceae.